This is a non-coding RNA of Sarcophilus harrisii (Tasmanian devil), 59 nucleotides long. The record is from Rfam. Lineage: Eukaryota; Metazoa; Chordata; Mammalia; Dasyuromorphia; Dasyuridae.
GAUUCCAUGGAGCAUAUGCUCUGGCUCUCUGGGGAUGGACAUGCGCUCUAUGGAAUCAC